Cannabis sativa is the source of this 712-nucleotide long non-coding RNA. RefSeq lists it as uncharacterized. The record is from RefSeq and is a predicted model, not a curated record. Lineage: Eukaryota; Viridiplantae; Streptophyta; Magnoliopsida; Rosales; Cannabaceae. The transcript is spliced from 2 exons.
AUGAUGCAUGAGAAAGAAAAAAACACAUAAGGACUAGUGAACAUGAUGAAGUUUGUGGCUUGUGGGGUCAUUCAUCACUUUGAGUCUGAUGUUGAUAUACUUACUAAAAGGGAAUCAGACCCAAGUGGUUAUUCUGAGGCCAUGACUGUUUCCCAGUCUUCCAGAUCCAUAAUUUUCUCAUGGAGAUUGGACAGAGGAAAGGUAACCAAGCUUGAAAUAACAAAUUCAAAUAUAGGACUUGAUGAGUGUGUUUAGUAAGAGGGUGAAGUGGGAGAAAGGAGAGAAAUGAGGUGAUUAUAGUCAAGCUCAAGUGUUAGUAUUGUACAAUUGAAAAUGGCUCCCUUCUCUCAACUACUUCCUCCUACCAAGCAACACAAGACUGCUUUUUCAAUUCUUCUCUCAUUUCUUCAAUAACAAAGGGAAAAGUGCUCCCCUUCCUUCCUCUUUCCCUUUAUGUAUAUAUAUACAAAAUAUAUGGCCAUUAUUGUCCAAAUUAUGAUUGUUUGUGAAAGCUGUUUUUGGUUUUAUUCUCACUCAUUCUUGUGUAUUGUGUUCUUCAACAAGCUUCUUUGUGAUUUAUGGACAUUAAAAUCACUUAGUGUGAUUGUAUCUUCAGUUACAGUUUGCAUUUCUAUUGCAUGAAUAAUGUGUGAUUUGUACCUUCAUAAAUUGUGAUACAUAUUGAUAAUAAUUGAAAAUUUCAGUUAAGAUG